UUCUGUAGGCUACUAAUAUGUUAAUUAGCUCUCGGAGUGUGCGACCCUAUUGGCUCUUCGUCCGAGUCAAUUUCCCAUUUCCAGCCUGACGUCAGGGCAGCAGCCUUAAACUCAUCUGCUGUGUGUGAUCCCUCUAAAAAAUCGCCCCACCAGUCAGCGGCUUAUAACGUGCGAGGCUGCAUUUACUCCCUUUACUUUCGGCUUUUCUCCCUCUCCGCUUGCGCAAUGUAUUCAUGAGGAAACCGUAAAGUGUUAAAUGUUUGAAAUACAAAACCGCCGAAUUGCACAUGCUGAAAAAGGACUCCGCUACUCGUGCGCGCGGCACUGGUGUGUCUGUGCAAUAGACUCUGCAAAGAAAAACUACUCUCGCACGCCUGCAAGUCCGUGGCUGCAAAAAGGACGCUGAAAGCCGCAUUUUUCAGUUUCAAGACAAACGUUUAAAAAUCAAACUGGCUCACGUUCUUCCCAACCAACCCAGUUUGACAGCUGCGCUUCACCCCGUUUGGAGGACUGUCAGCAGCAAGAGGAUGGCAUCAGAGCUGGCAAUGAGCAACUCCGACCUGCCCACCAGUCCCCUGGCCAUGGAAUAUGUUAAUGACUUCGAUCUGAUGAAGUUUGAAGUGAAAAAGGAGCCGGUGGAGCCCGAUCGCAACAUCAGCCAGUGCAGUCGCCUUAUCGCCGGGGGAUCCUUGUCUUCCACCCCGAUGAGCACGCCGUGCAGCUCGGUGCCCCCUUCCCCAAGCUUCUCGGCACCCAGUCCGGGCUCGGGGAGCGAGCAGAAGACACACAUAGAGGAUUUCUACUGGAUGUCCGGUUAUCAACAGCAGUUGAAUCCAGAGGCGCUGGGCUUCAGCCCCGAAGACGCAGUCGAGGCGCUGAUCAACAGCAGUCACCAGCUCCAGUCAUUCGAUGGCUACGCCAGGGGCCAGCAGUUUGCUGGCGCAGCCGGAGCAGGAGGCACCAUGGCCGGGGAAGAGAUGGGGUCCGCCGCGGCGGUUGUGUCGGCAGUCAUCGCUGCGGCAGCUGCUCAGAACGGAGGGCAGCACCACCAUCACCACCAUCACCACCACAGCAGCAACCACCACCAAGCAACUGGCAUCCAGUCCAACGGCACUUCUGGGACAAUUCACCCACACAUGCGCUUGGAGGAGCGGUUUUCGGACGACCAGCUGGUCACCAUGUCAGUGCGGGAGCUCAACCGGCAGCUACGGGGGGUCAGCAAGGAAGAAGUGAUCCGAUUGAAACAGAAGAGGAGGACCCUAAAGAACAGAGGCUACGCGCAGUCCUGCCGGUACAAGAGGGUCCAGCAGCGGCACGUCCUGGAGGGAGAAAAGACGCAACUCAUCCAGCAGGUCGAUCACCUAAAGCAGGAGAUCUCCAGGCUGGUCCGGGAGAGGGACGCGUACAAAGAAAAGUAUGAGAAGCUCAUCAGCAACGGCUUCAGAGAAAAUGGAUCCAGCAGCGACAACAACCCUUCAUCUCCGGAGUUUUUCAUGUCAUCGAGAAAAUUCCUCCAUCUGUGAUUUCAAGCCCCAUCCCUCCGUGCCCUUGGCUCUCUGAGACUGGUGUGUUGGGUCCUGAGAAAGUCAACUGGCAGAUCUGCACUUCCUCUUCUGCCAGUAACCUGCCAUACAGCCCUCCGGCAAACUUCCAUGAAACACAAAUAACCUAACGACUGAGCAGUGACGACGUCAGAGCGGCUGACCAAUCGCGCACGAAGACACCUACAAAGCACAACAUUCAAAAAUGACUUCACUGAAGAACAACAGACGAGACCUGCUGAAAAUCCCUCAAAAUCCCUACAGUGAAAUUCUUGAAAGCUACUUACUACUCCUGUCUCCCUCCCUGAUAUUUUACCUCCAGCUUUUUUCUACAAAACACGAAAAAACGGAAAAAAAAAACAACAACAAAAAAACAAAAAACAGACAGACUCAUACUCAUGAGAUGGUUGACGAUGCCAGAUAAAUACACUGGAAGGACUAUUUUCUCUUUGGUGGGAAGAUCAUUGAUGCAUGCUCCUGUAAAUAGAUCAUAAUAAAACCCUAUUCUUAUUCCUAAUAUAGGAAAACAUACAAAGUCGCUCUCACCAACUUCAUAAACCUUCAUGACUGUGGAUAGAGUACUCAUGAUUCAAUAUUUUCCAUAUGAAGUCAGUAUUCUUCUUACCUCCUCAAAAAACAUGUAAUUAUCAUUUCCAAUAUCAUUUCUCUACUCUUUGGAGUUAUUUGGACUAUAAAAAUUGUACUUCCUAUUCUUCUUAUUCUCUUUACAUAACGGCCUAGUCUUCCUCUCCAAUAUCCACAUUAGUACAUGUAAAUAGAAAUGAAUGAAGACAACAGCAUGGAACAGACUCUAGUGUAUAUUUACCACUCCCCUAGUAGAUCACAAAUCUCAAUAUGUGGAUAUUUCAGACAAACCUUUUUAAAAGUUUAAAAUACUUGUUUUCUGGUAGUUAAAGGCAUAGUCCCAGGUAUCAGGACACUUUUCCUAAGUAUUUGAAUAGAUAAAGACAUUAGCUAUAGGUAAUAUUAUUUGACUACCUUACAAAGAUUAGAAAGCAGCAAUUUCUUUGGUAUCAUCAAUCAGUUCUACAAUGAAACAAACGGUCAAACUGAAGAGGAAAAGCAGGCAAUUCACCCACGCCAUGAGUCUUCCUUGGCACUACUAAAAAGUAUUUUUAACCUUUUAUAUUUUAUUUUAUACGUUUGUUUACAAUUUGUCUCCCGAUGUGUACCUAUUUAUUCUUUUCCAUGGCAAUAAUUGUCCUCUCCGUCCCCAUGAGUGGGUUGUAAUUGCUGAAGUAAAGUUGUCGUCAGCGCUGAGAGGGCCACUUUUUUUCUUUGCAUGGUUUGAAACGGCGCUCCGAUCCUGAGCCUACACAUGGGGGAAAAGAACACCUCACCUCCAUCUUCUACAGACUAUGAAGAUAACCCAAUGGACUGAUAAUAUGCCAAGCCAAUGAACAGACAACCUCAGAGGUUACCCCAUCACUGGUGAAGACAGAACAAACCUUUGCAUGGACAACAGGGAAUAUACUACUGUAGGUUGUUGAACACCUCAUCUCCACCAUCGUGCAUCCUCUACCUCUCAGUGUGUGCUGUGCAAUCCAGAAAAUCAUGACUCAUUACUCUACUAUUCUACUGUCCCCACAGUCCAUGUCUCUGCUGCAUGUUCCUAGAGCUUCAUGAGGAGAGUAUCGCUCAGCGUUUAACGCUACUGAUGGACGCAACAUGGCAACGGGGAAAACAGAACAAACACACUUGUUCACUUUGACACAAACACUCACACGUACAAGCGCAUGCAUACAGAUGCACAAUCAUACACAGCGCCACUCAAAUAUGUUGCUGUAUAUAUGUACAGUAUAUCCACUAUGUAUAGUCUCAGAUGCUGUACUUUGCAUGUUGACUUGUAGAUGGAACGUGACCAUUAUUCAUAGAAGAGGUUGUGCAGGUAGGCAUAGUCACUGAAAUGACUUUCUAAACCAAUGCAAGCUCUUUGUCAGCUUUACAUCUCCUUACUUUGAUGAGAAAAUACAUAGUUUUACUGACCCUGUUCUUAUUGUUUAAGGUUUGACAGGUUUUAAACUCUUUAAAGGGACACGUAACCUCACCUUUGAUGUCAGACAGAACCUGGCCACAGUGAGCGUGGUUAGGAGAAGAGAGGAGGGAAGGCAAACUGGGGCGCUCCAAUUAAGUGGCAGCACACAAAGUGGCAUGGGGCAUCCUGCCAGCAACUGUCUAUUCAUCCUAUGUCAAAGGGAUUUGCACAUCCCAAUGAGUGUACGCACUGCCAGAGAAGUCCGAGAGCAGAGCGGAGGAGAGCAGAGAAAGGAAGUGAGGCCCAUGGAAAAGAAUGAGGAAAAAAAAGAGACUAUUUUAACUCAAAAUCUAAGGUUGUAUUGCACUUAUAUUCAGAUUAUUCUCCUAUAGAAUAUUCUCCUCGGACCAGCAGCCACUUUACAGAGUUUGGUAACCCCCUGACCUCGAGCAUCAUGAAGCUCUCUUAGUUGUCAUGACCUCACGUCCUCUCUGAGGUUAACUUUGUGUUAAUGAGCAUGGCCCUCAGCUCAACCAGAUGUUCAGCCUUGUGGUUAAAUACUUGUUACCCUUCCAUCCCAAUGAUUCUUCAAUGUCUUCCCACUGCAGCUGUACUCUUGAAAAAUCAUAUUAAAUAGUGAGAAAUUAGAUUACUUUUUCACUGAUAAUCAAGUGGAUCAAUCGUAGGUGUGUCCUUUUACCAAGAAAAACUGUCAUUGUGCAGCCAGUUUGAAAUGAAGAAAUCUUCUUAAUUCAAGUACUGUCUAAGCAUACUGAAUCAUAUGAGGGUAUUUACAGUCAACAUGUAAACAAACUUCAAAUUAGGACUUAUGACUGAGCAGUGAUUAGUUAAAGAAGAUUUAAAAUACAGGAAGGAUGAAGACGUCACUCAAACAUGAGACGUUGUAUGCGGUAGGAAAUAAGACAUUGAGCAAGUGCUGAUCUUCUCUGAGCCUCAAGGCUUUCCACAUUCUUAGAAGUCAAACAAAGCCCUGUUUCUGCGCAGCUGCAGGCGACGUGACGGGUUGAUUUGUCGUUUCUGUACGUUUGAAUGCAAGUACUGUAUUGUUCUGCCCUGAUCGCCAGGCAGCAUGAGCGCUUUUACCUGGCAAUGACCCAGGGUCAAUACAUGUACGUAAACAAGCGUAGACCACAUAUUCAUAUACAGAACGUGGACACAAACACACAGAGGUGCAUCCUUACUCUCUCUCUCUCUCUCUCUCUCUCACUCACACAC
Larimichthys crocea (large yellow croaker) is the source of this 4773-nucleotide RNA transcript. It is a transcript of the gene named MAF bZIP transcription factor a, with no coding region annotated. The record is from RefSeq and is a predicted model, not a curated record. Lineage: Eukaryota; Metazoa; Chordata; Actinopteri; Sciaenidae. The transcript is spliced from 4 exons.